This 468-nucleotide ribosomal RNA is filed under the name uncultured bacterium. RNAcentral describes it as "partial 16S ribosomal RNA". It matches the Rfam family "Bacterial small subunit ribosomal RNA", at positions 28 to 507 of the family's 1533-position model. The record is from RNAcentral.
GACGAACGCUGGCGGCGUGCUUAACACAUGCAAGUCGAACGGAAAGGCCCUGCUUUUGCGGGGUGCUCGAGUGGCGAACGGGUGAGUAACACGUGAGUAACCUGCCCUUGACUUUGGGAUAACUUCAGGAAACUGGGGCUAAUACCGGAUAGGAGCUCCUGCUGCAUGGUGGGGGUUGGAAAGUUUCGGCGGUUGGGGAUGGACUCGCGGCUUAUCAGCUUGUUGGUGGGGUAAUGGCUUACCAAGGCUUUGACGGGUAGCCGGCCUGAGAGGGUGACCGGCCACAUUGGGACUGAGAUACGGCCCAGACUCCUACGGGAGGCAGCAGUGGGGAAUAUUGCACAAUGGGCGGAAGCCUGAUGCAGCAACGCCGCGUGCGGGAUGACGGCCUUCGGGUUGUAAACCGCUUUCGCCUGUGACGAAGCGUGAGUGACGGUAAUGGGUAAAGAAGCACCGGCUAACUACGUG